AUUGAACGCUGGCGGCAGGCCUAACACAUGCAAGUCGAACGAGUGGCGGACGGGUGAGGAAUGUCUGGGAAACUGCCCGAUGGAGGGGGAUAACUACUGGAAACGGUAGCUAAUACCGCAUACCAUCGGAUGUGCCCAGAUGGGAUUAGCUAGUAGGUGGGGUAAUGGCUCACCUAGGCGACGAUCCCUAGCUGGGCUGAGAGGAUGACAGUCCACACUGGACCUGAGCCACGGUCCAGUCUCCGACGGGAGGCAGCAGUGGGGAAUAUUGCACAAUGGGCGCAAGCCUGAUGCAGCCAUGCCGCGUGUAUUAAGAAGGCCUUCGGGUUGUAAAGUACUUUCAGCGAGGAGGCGUUACUCGCAGAAGAAGCACCGGCUAACUCCGUGCCAGCCGCCGCGGUAAUUC
This 406-nucleotide ribosomal RNA is filed under the name uncultured bacterium. RNAcentral's name for it is "partial 16S ribosomal RNA". It matches the Rfam family "Bacterial small subunit ribosomal RNA", at positions 30 to 526 of the family's 1533-position model. The record is from RNAcentral.